This 465-nucleotide ribosomal RNA is filed under the name Vreelandella stevensii. RNAcentral's name for it is "partial 16S ribosomal RNA". It matches the Rfam family "Bacterial small subunit ribosomal RNA", at positions 338 to 795 of the family's 1533-position model. The record is from RNAcentral. Lineage: Bacteria; Pseudomonadati; Pseudomonadota; Gammaproteobacteria; Oceanospirillales; Halomonadaceae.
CCUACGGGCUGCAGCAGUGGGGAAUAUUGGACAAUGGGCGAAAGCCUGAUCCAGCCAUGCCGCGUGUGUGAAGAAGGCCUUCGGGUUGUAAAGCACUUUCAGUGGGGAAGAAAGCCUUGGGGCUAAUACCCUCGAGGAAGGACAUCACCCACAGAAUAAGCACCGGCUAACUCCGUGCCAGCAGCCGCGGUAAUACGGAGGGUGCGAGCGUUAAUCGGAAUUACUGGGCGUAAAGCGCGCGUAGGCGGUCUGAUAAGCCGGUUGUGAAAGCCCCGGGCUCAACCUGGGAACGGCAUCCGGAACUGUCAGGCUAGAGUGCAGGAGAGGAAGGUAGAAUUCCCGGUGUAGCGGUGAAAUGCGUAGAGAUCGGGAGGAAUACCAGUGGCGAAGGCGGCCUUCUGGACUGACACUGACGCUGAGGUGCGAAAGCGUGGGUAGCAAACAGGAUUAGAUACCCGAGUAGUC